GCUCCGGUAGUGUAGCACGGCCAAUCAUGUUGGCCUUUCGAGCCAACGACUCGGGUUCAAAUCCCGACCGGAGCA
Molecule: transfer RNA, 75 nt
Filed under: Methanobacteriota archaeon
Lineage: Archaea; Methanobacteriati; Methanobacteriota
Also listed under: 2 other names
Description: tRNA-Glu
Rfam family: tRNA
About the family: Transfer RNA (tRNA) molecules are approximately 80 nucleotides in length. Their secondary structure includes four short double-helical elements and three loops (D, anti-codon, and T loops). Further hydrogen bonds mediate the characteristic L-shaped molecular structure. tRNAs have two regions of fundamental functional importance: the anti-codon, which is responsible for specific mRNA codon recognition, and the 3' end, to which the tRNAs corresponding amino acid is attached (by aminoacyl-tRNA synthetases). tRNAs cope with the degeneracy of the genetic code in two manners: having more than one tRNA (with a specific anti-codon) for a particular amino acid; and 'wobble' base-pairing, i.e. permitting non-standard base-pairing at the 3rd anti-codon position.
Source: RNAcentral